AACGCACAUUGCACCCUCUGGUAUUCUGGGGGGUAUGCCUGUUCGAGCGUCAUUGCAACCCUCAAGCAUUGCUUGGUAUUGGAUGCCACCGUGUUGGUGCAUCUCAAAAGUAUUGGUGGUGGCAUUCAGCUUCUAGCGUAGUAAAUCUUCUCGCAUUGGAGUUUGAGUGUCUGAUUGCCAGAACCCCUAAAUUUAUUAAAGGUUGACCUCGGAUCAGGUGGGGAUACCCGCUGAACUUAA
Molecule: unclassified non-coding RNA, 240 nt
Filed under: Thelephora sp.
Lineage: Eukaryota; Fungi; Basidiomycota; Agaricomycetes; Thelephorales; Thelephoraceae
Also listed under: 1 other name
Description: partial contains 5.8S ribosomal RNA, internal transcribed spacer 2, and large subunit ribosomal RNA
Source: RNAcentral